GAUGAACGCUGGCGGCGUGCCUAAUACAUGCAAGUCGAGCGAACAGACGAGGAGCUUGCUCCCCUGACGUUAGCGGCGGACGGGUGAGUAACACGUGGAUAACCUACCUAUAAGACUGGGAUAACUUCGGGAAACCGGAGCUAAUACCGGAUAAUAUAUUGAACCGCAUGGUUCAAUAGUGAAAGACGGUUUUGCUGUCACUUAUAGAUGUAUCCGCGCCGCAUUAGCUAGUUGGUAAGGUAACGGCUUACCAAGGCGACGAUGCGUAGCCGACCUGAGAGGGUGAUCGGCCACACUGGAACUGAGACACGGUCCAGACUCCUACGGGAGGCAGCAGUAGGGAAUCUUCCGCAAUGGGCGAAAGCCUGACGGAGCAACGCCGCGUGAGUGAUGAAGGUCUUCGGAUCGUAAAACUCUGUUAUUAGGGAAGAACAAAUGUGUAAGUAACUAUGCACGUCUUGACGGUACCUAAUCAGAAAGCCACGGCUAACUACGUG
Molecule: ribosomal RNA, 497 nt
Filed under: uncultured bacterium
Lineage: Bacteria
Description: partial 16S ribosomal RNA
Rfam family: Bacterial small subunit ribosomal RNA
Source: RNAcentral